GACGAACGCUGGCGGCGUGCUUAACACAUGCAAGUCGAACGGAAAGGCCCUGCAUUUGUGGGGUGCUCGAGUGGCGAACGGGUGAGUAACACGUGAGUAACCUGCCCUUGACUUUGGGAUAACUUCAGGAAACUGGGGCUAAUACCGGAUAGGAGCUCCUGCUGCAUGGUGGGGGUCGGAAAGUUUCGGCGGUUGGGGAUGGACUCGCGGCUUAUCAGCUUGUUGGUGGGGUAGUGGCUUACCAAGGCUUUGACGGGUAGCCGGCCUGGGAGGGUGACCGGCCACAUUGGGACUGAGAUACGGCCCAGACUCCUACGGGAGGCAGCAGUGGGGAAUAUUGCACAAUGGGCGGAAGCCUGAUGCAGCAACGCCGCGUGCUGGAUGACGGCCUUCGGGUUUUAAACCGCUUUCGCCUGUGACGAAGCGUGAGUGACGGUAAUGGGUAAAGAAGCACCGGCUAACUACGUG
RNAcentral lists this ribosomal RNA (468 nucleotides) under uncultured bacterium. RNAcentral's name for it is "partial 16S ribosomal RNA". It matches the Rfam family "Bacterial small subunit ribosomal RNA", at positions 28 to 507 of the family's 1533-position model. The record is from RNAcentral.